UACGUAGGUGGCAAGCGUUGUCCGGAAUUAUUGGGCGUAAAGCGCGCGCAGGCGGUUUACUAAGUCCAUCUUAAAAGUGCGGGGCUUAACCCCGUGAUGGGAUGGAAACUGGCAGACUGGAGUAUCGGAGAGGAAAGCGGAAUUCCUAGUGUAGCGGUGAAAUGCGUAGAGAUUAGGAAGAACACCGGUGGCGAAGGCGGCUUUCUGGACGACAACUGACGCUGAGGCGCGAAAGCGUGGGGAGCAAACAGG
RNAcentral lists this ribosomal RNA (252 nucleotides) under Dialister succinatiphilus YIT 11850. RNAcentral describes it as "partial 16S ribosomal RNA". It matches the Rfam family "Bacterial small subunit ribosomal RNA", at positions 524 to 776 of the family's 1533-position model. Lineage: Bacteria; Bacillati; Bacillota; Negativicutes; Veillonellales; Veillonellaceae. The record is from RNAcentral.